AUUAUUGAAAUCAAUACAAAACGAAAAAAAUACCGGAUUUUGGUUGAAAAAAGGGGGGCCUGUCCACAAGAACUUAUGCGCAGAAUAAAGGUGGUGAGAAGAGAACGUGGUAUAAUCGUAGCAGGAUCGUUGUAUAGAAGCGGAAUGAGGACGUUGUAGCAGAAAAAAAACAUGAAAAUAACGAAUUUUCCGUGACAUUUUAUGCCACUUAUACCACGACCUCAACACGAUUUGAAUUUAUUUUAGAUCGCCGUGAGCGUUGUGCGAUCGUGGUCUAGUGUGCCGAGGGUAUUCUCAAUAUCCGCCCGACAUUUAUUUAAAAAAAGGGAACUAACAGCUAGGAAAUUUAAGAGUAACUCAAAACGAUUUUAAGGUGGUAUGGGUGUCUUCCUCCAUCUUGGAUCGUAAAAAAACAGAGAACCAAAGGUCCAGACUUUCUAUUAAGUCAGCAAAAUUUGAUGCAGGAAUGCAGAUAUUUAAUGUGAAUUUUCAUUUUAUGUCCGUUAUGUAAUGAACAAAUAAAACGGACUUGUAGUAUGCCGAGAAAUGGUAGGGGUUGAAAAGAAUUAGAAAACAAAUAUCAGAAUAAAAAGCCAAUAACUUUGCCUGAUCAUGAUUUAGAAGAUCAUAUAAAAAAAGAAGAUGUGGUAUGAUUGCUAAUGAGAUAACUCUCCACAUGAGACCAACAUGACACAGAAAUUAACAACUAUAGGUAACCAUACGGCCUUCAUUAAUGAUCAAAGCCCAUACCGCAUACAUGUAGUCAGCUAUAAAAAGCCGUAAAUAUGCAUGAUACUAAAGAAAACCAACAUACCAAUAAUUUUUUUUUCCUGACGCGAUUUUCAAUUGGUGUGUAUCCGUUUUAUAAUCAAUUAUCGUUCUGUUAUCCUUCUGUUCAUGUCCGUCUCGCAUCCGUUUUAUGCUUUAUAUGUCCGGUAAAGAUCGUUAGUGAACCUGUCUACCGGACCUCCAACGGAUGUUUAACGGACGAGUAACAGAUACAAAACGAACACAGAACGGACGAGUAUUGUAAACAAAAAACAGACGCCUACUGGACACUUCAUCCGUUGAACGUCCGUUCAAAGGUUUUUAACAUGCUAAAAUUUUUCCACCAGACCAACCGGACGUCGACUGAUAAAGUUGAUACUGAACGGAAUGAAACAGAUAUGUACGGUCGUCUAUAACGGAUAACAACACUUGUUUCACGGAACGAACGAAUUGAAAAAAAGUUAUCCGUGCGGCGUCCGUUCGCGCUAUCUGGUAAGGUGUGACCGGAGAUUUAAGCACAUGUUACACCUUUUUUUUUUUUUUUUUUUUUUUAACGAUAACAAAUUUUGUAUUGCAUGUUACACCUUAACGGAUAGCGCAAACGGAUUAUACUUUUUACAAUCCGUUCAUGUCCGUAAGACGUCCGUUAAUUUCCGUUUCAUGUCCGUUCAACAUCCGUGAUAUCCAUCAAUGUCCCUUCUGUCCGGUGGACAAUUUUUUAUAUGUCAAAAUGCACUGUUUUUAUGUUAUUUAUAUGUUUUUAUAUUCGGUCAAAAGCUCCUUAGAGCUUGUGUUGCUUAUUUGUAUCUAUGCCGAAUCAAAAUAAAGUUUUCUUAUCUUAUCUUAUCUUAUCUUGGAGAAUUUCGAGAAUGUUCAAUACUAUGAAUUAACGGACAUUCAACUGAUGAAGUGUCCGUUGUACAUCCGGUAGUCGUCCGUUUUUUUUACGGAUGUGCAUGCGUUCUUAAAGAGUGACAAAUCUUAGCUGCGGGAUAAUACCUUGUAUACUAUAAAUAUAUAUAUAAAUAGAGUAUGAUUGCCAAUGAGACAACUCUUCACAAGAGACCAAAAUGACACAGAGAUUAACAACUAUAGGUCAACGUACGGCCUUCAACAAUGAGCAAAGCCCAUACUGCAUAGUCAGCUAUAAAAGGCCCCGAAAUGACAAUAGUAACGAGAAAACUAACGACCUUAUUUAUAUAAAAAAAAUGAACGAAAAACAAAUAUGUAACACAAAAACAAACGACAACCACUGAAUUACAGGCUCUUAACUUGGUACAGACACAUACAUACAUAAUAUUGCGGGGUUAAACAUUUUAGCGGGAUUCCAACCCUCCCCUAACAUUGGACAGUAGAAUAACAGUACAACAUAGGAACGAACUAUAAAAAUCAGUUGGAAAAUGCUUAAUUCAUCAGAUGGACAAAAAUACAAGUGGACGUAUAUAUCAAUUUCAUUUUCAAAAGCACACACGGCGUGUCAAUCUAGUACACUGUAAAUCUAAGUGUUAAUAAAUAGAACACUGCUUGAACGCUUUUUUGUAACACUUUUUGAACGUGUAAUGGUGUUCCAAAUGUUUACACUAGUGUUCAUCAAUUGAAUGUGUGGUGUUCAGUUUUUAAUGCCUUUGUGUUUCAUUUUUGAACACUUGAUGUUAGAGACCUUAACAUUAGUGUUCAACGAUUUAACGUGUCCGAAUGUUCAAAAUCUUAAUACGUCGACGCGUUCAACAGCCAUGUAACACUUUUUGAACACACAGAACAUGUUUAAAAACCAAAAUGUUAAGAUUCAGAACACCAGACGUUUACAUUCAGAACAGUUGACAUAGGUGUUCAAAUUGAUGGUGUUCAAAUGUGGAACAUGUUCUAUUGUUAAGCGUACAUAAUUUUCCAUAAGUACUAAACUUAAUUAAACUGUUAUAAAAACUAUAUUGAAUCAGGCAAAAUACAACAAUAAAACAUAUUUUAACAAGUAAUUCUUUAUAUAAUCAAAUGAGC
Molecule: long non-coding RNA, 2763 nt
Filed under: Mytilus galloprovincialis (Mediterranean mussel)
Lineage: Eukaryota; Metazoa; Mollusca; Bivalvia; Mytilida; Mytilidae
Source: RNAcentral